Molecule: long non-coding RNA, 2127 nt
Filed under: Pelobates cultripes (western spadefoot toad)
Lineage: Eukaryota; Metazoa; Chordata; Amphibia; Anura; Pelobatidae
Source: RNAcentral
GUUCCAUCAAGAUGGUGGAGGCUCCUCACAUUAUCAGACAAGGCCUGUAACCAUCCCAGCAGCUCCAUUGCACAUCAAUGGAAAAUAUUUUACACCACCUAGAUGAGACUUUCCGGAGCUUCUGGCGUAAACUACAUGAAUGUAGGUAUGUCCUUGUGCUUAAGCCACAGGAAGAACAACAGAGUAACACAGAGCCGGAGAAGAGCGCUUCCUCUCAGGGCAAGGCUAGUCAAUGAGCGUCUACCUAUGCUUCCGUCUGCCUCCUGGGCUGAGAGCAUACUGAGGCUCUGCCUCAAAGCAUUGGCCUCACAGUCCGAAGAUCAACCACCAUCAGUGGUACACUACAUCUGGAUCUUCCUGCUGCUCCUGGCGGGGAAGAGACUUGGAUUAAAAGAAUCUCCAAGUCUGUGGAUUGCAGAUGCAGGCCCUCAUUCAGGCAUGUGGCUGGAGAGGGGCCCUACCCCAGCGCUGUGAUGUGGACACACAAGCAAUCUCCUCUAGCAUCGAUCCAUGCCUGCCACUACUGGGGAUCAGCUGAAACAGGCCCUAGGGCCAUAGCCUAAAUAAUGUCAAUAAAGGCUAAUACUUCCUGCUGCCAUAUGUAGCUCACGUUCACUUAGAUAUGGGGCUUGCUCUCUUAUUCCUAUUGUUAUAUUUUCUUUGUGUUAUUUGCCUAUUUUUUCUUCCAUCCAUCACCCUAUCUUCUAUGAUGCUAUAUCGUAGAGCUGUGUAAUGCUUCGGUGGAUAACCUAUAGGCUAACUCAGCACAUGUUAGUUAAUCUGAUAACUCUUUGCCUAUAACGCCUCAUAAAUCUCAUGUUUAUUACCUUGUUAAUCGCAGAAUGACAAUUGUUUCCUCAUUGUUUAGACAUGUUAAACCAGCAUGAUUAAUUUACCUAAAAUUGUGCCAAUGUCUCACUGCUGUACUUAUGUUUUCAUAUGUUUGACAAUAGUAUGCUUGUGUUCGCUGUUGUGGCAUUCGAAGUAGUAAGCAGGACAGCUGGGAAGUCUAAGUAUGUAGGGCUACUGAAUAUUACCCAAUACUCAAAUUUCCUGUAUUUCUUUUAAACUGUGUAGACAGAGUAGAUAUAUCAGACUUGUCUAGAAAGCAAAUAUAUACUGUGUGUUUAUUUAAGCAUAAUAUUAGUGGUGAGCACUCAGCCCUUGAUAUUAUAUGUACAGAAGUGUGCAUAUGACUUGCCAGUUGGAAACAUAGAAAACUAUGGAUGGUCCCAGAUAUGUAUUUCUCAUUAGGCGUUGUAGGCACCUGUGUACAGAGAUGCCUGUCCUCAGAGGGCACCAGUUUUCAGCAAUUAUAAUGUGCCUUUUUGGACCUUACAUGGGCUGGUUCAAGUGAAAUAAGUGAUAAGAGCCUUGGCCAGUAUCCUCUGUGUCCAGUCAGCCUCCUAAGCUUGAUGUCAGAGCUAUGUCAGGAACAGUUAUAGGUGGUAUAAAAGCUGUACCAGCUCCUCCAAUGUUUAUUUGUUAGGUUGGACAGGAAGUGGAAGGGAUAACAAAGAAAGUGUUUGCAGAAGGAGCAGGAGAUGGCAAUGAGUGGUGCACAUUGUAUAACAGCUACUUCAAAUCAAAAAAAUCACUGGAACCAUAGGACGGUGAGUACUUUGCAAACAACCCUUCAAAAGUCAUGUCGUAAACACCCUUUUCGUGAACCCAAAAGCAACCACCAAACAUAAACAAAGCCUUUUCUUAUUCAUAAAUGUAAGCAUUCAAAGCCUAAAACCGCAAAAAAAUAAGUAAAAUAAACUCUCUGCCUGAAUCCUAGGUUUGGCAUACACCUAUGAAACUAAGCACACCACGUACCCAAUACUAAAUUUAACCACACUCUAAACCUAAAUCCAAAAAUACUAAACACAUUUGAGAACACAACUGUAACCUCUCUCAAGCAUAUAAUCAUAGUACCUUAUAACACUCUUCUCCAAUGCUGAAAUAAACCCCUUUCUAACCUUAAACCUCUUUUUACCCUAACUUCUAACAUUACCGUUGACCCUGCAUGUAUUUAAGCAGCAAUUGCAGUGGGUGCAUACACUUUCUAUACUCACAGAUUCAAGCACAAUACAUUACAAGCAGGAAUAUGCAUGUACAUAUAAACAUGUGCGAUUAUCAUAC